This is a long non-coding RNA of Musa acuminata AAA Group (dessert banana), 2146 nucleotides long. RefSeq lists it as uncharacterized. The transcript has 3 exons. Lineage: Eukaryota; Viridiplantae; Streptophyta; Magnoliopsida; Zingiberales; Musaceae. The record is from RefSeq and is a predicted model, not a curated record.
CCUUUGGAUGCGCACCGCUUGGCUGAUUACGGUGUGCUCCGCUCGUUUUGUUUCGUGCCGUCCCACAGUUUCUGCUUUUCUUGUCCCGCAAGCUCCAAUCUUUUGUGUGCUCUCGCUCUUCUGCGGUCGGUCGAACGAGAGGAACAUCCGAGUCGUGAGCGAACGAUGGAAGCGGUGACGCCUCAGCCCGUUUGCGCCAAGGAAGCGCUCGCUCUUCUCAACUGCACCGUCGAAACUCCCUUCGACCGUGACAAGUGCCUCCGUUUGUUGGACGCCCUAAGGAGCUGCGUCCUCGAAAAGAAAGUGAAGAAGUUCUCAGUAGCGGAACAGAGCCAUGCAGCUGUAGUUCCAAAGAGCAAGGAGAAACCAUGAAUGCCUUAAACACGGUCAUAAAUGAAAAUUGUUGUCCCUAUAUUUGGACACUAGUUCUGUUGUUAACUAUUGAGUUUUGAUGGAUGGGUUAGGUUGGAGAGAAUGAAGCCAUCAGAAGGCAAAACAGAGGGGUUCUUUUUUUUUUUUUGCAUUGUUAUAAUGACUUGUGACUUCUGAUUUCUGACCUAUUUUAAUUUCAUCCAUUUAGAUUUGAAUCAAGGACUAAUAUCACUCGAUCACUCAAAACUGAAGCUGCAGUUGGCUAUAGAUACCUGUGGACGUGUCAUGUAAUGCAGGAGCUAACAUCACUCGAUCUUUCUUGCUGCUUUUCCUCUCCAUUUGUCAUUUGAUUGUAUGUUAUCCAUCAAGUUUAAGUCUUACCGAUUUCGAAAGCGAGCAAGAAGUCGAGAAAGGGAGCGACGAGGGAGAAGGUAGAGCGAUUUCGAGGAGACAGAGGCCUCGGCGAUCCAAGUGCUUCUGCUGAGCAGGUAGACCAUAUUACUCCUCUCUGGUUUCUCGCUCCUCACGUCUCUCUCGUUUGCUGCUCCUCACUCCUUUCACGUUUCUGGAUUAUAUCGAUUCUAGGGUUUCAUCGCCCACUUGUCAUUCGUUGUUCUUUGCGUUGGAUUCUGAAGUUUUCUUCCGCCUCGUGGAUAGUUCUAGUGUUUUUCUUCUUUUUGGUUCCAUUUCGUUGCUUUUUCGACGGAUUUUUGGUGCUACAUGUUCGUGCGUCUUUUCGUGCUUUUCCACUAAAUCAUUGAGGUUCUUUCUAUUUCGGGUUUCGUUGUCUGCGUGUUCCUUCCUUUAAUGUUUAUCGAUCUGAUUCCUAGGGAUUUUCCUUUACGAGGAUAUGUUCUAGGGUUUGUCCGGAAUUUUCCAUAGAAUCCUUGGGGUUUUUCCUAUUCUAGGGUCUCGUCGACUUUUCUUUUUCGUUACUGUUCAGUUAGCUUCAUAAGGAUUUUUGAAGGAUAUGUUGUAGGUUCUUGUCAUGUUUUUCUUUCGGAUUUUUAUGAUUCCAAUGAUUAUUUUUCGUUGUCUUCUUUACUGGAUCCUUAAACUUCUUCCUCCCGAAUGUGUCUUUAGGGUUUCGUUGGAAACUUUUACAUUCUCUCUAUGGCUAUUUUGUUAUUGAUUUAUCAGUUUUCUCAUUGAUUGAUUGCUGCGGAAAACCAUCCAUGGGUGAUUCUGGUCUGGUCUCUGAUUCCGGGAGGUUGGAUGGCCGAAAGAGAAACUGCUUUGGGGUCUAGCUACAUGCUUGUACUGACGAGUUUCAGAUCCUGAAUCCAAUUGGAGAAGGUUGUCACGAGUUUGUCUUUAGAACCAAAGAUAAGACAAGUGGAGAAAUUGUGACUAUGAAGACAAGAAGUUUAUUAAUCGAGUUGCUUGGGGAAACGACAACCAUUGGAAGAGGGAGAUCAACUAUCUGAUGUCACCCAUCUAUCAUAGAGUUUUAUGGAUGUUGCAAUGAAUUUUUUUGGUUAUAGAAUAGGUGGAAAAUGACCUCAUAAGUUUUAUGGAGAAGGGGGCAAUCAUUUUUCGAGAGUGAAAUCAAAGUUUUGAUGAUUCAGCUCUUGCGAGAUGUGAAUGAUAUUCAGAUAUUUAGAUAUAUAAACAUCAAACAUCCUACUGAACGAUUAUGGAAAGGUCAUGAUAUAUGAUGAUUUUGAAAUGUCUCAUGUUUCAAGUUUUGUCCUGUACAUCAUCAGUGGAUAUUUAUAAAACAUCAAACGUGUUAGUGGAAGCUAAAAAUUAUUUAUCCACUAUUAAUGUGUUC